AUGGAAUUUGAGUUUGUUUGUUUCAGAGUCAGAGAGCGUGUCUCUGUACAGUCAGAGGUUUUUGUACGACGCUUUAACCAGUUUGUAUCACUGUGGUGGACUUUUGGUGGAGGAACCAGACUGGAAGUUGGAAGUGAUGCCCCGCCCUCCCUGACCGUGCUCCUCCCCUCCACCAAGGAGCUGCAGCAGGGGAAGGCCACACUCAUGUGUGUGGCCAACAAGGGCUUCCCCUCAGACUGGACUCUGUCCUGGAAGGUGGUCGGCAGCAGCAGCAGCAACUGGGAGGAGAGCAGGAGCCCCGGGGUGCUGCAGAAGGACGGCCUCUACAGCUGGAGCAGCACCCUGAGGCUCUCUGCAGACCAGUGGGAGAAGGUGACCUGUGAGGCCAAGAGAGGAUCCCAGACUGCAGUCUCAGAGACUCUCAGGAGAGACCAGUGCUCCCAGUCCUGAACGCAAACAUUCUGGAUAUAAAUCUUUUUUCUAUGUAGUUCUUCUUUUACAUUCUCUUUCUCAAACUCUGUUUGCAUUUUUGGCUUGUUGCAGUUUAACAUAAAAAAGUUGUAAUCAAAUAAAAAACUAUUUUCAUUUGAACUCUUUACUCGUCCUACUAUGACAAAAUACAUUUAUUUUUUAUACUGACAUCAGCUAUUUUAGGAUGAAUUAAGUACAUUUUUGUAAAAAAAAAAGAAA
Non-coding RNA from Oryzias melastigma (Indian medaka), 690 nucleotides. NCBI's taxonomy places the organism in Eukaryota, Metazoa, Chordata, Actinopteri, Beloniformes, Adrianichthyidae. The record is from the annotation of a RefSeq genome assembly.